CCGCGGGAAUACCGGUGGUCCGAGUGGUAGCCGCGUUUAUUUGGUCUAAAGGGUCCGUAGCCGGUCCGGUCAGUCCAUUGGUAAAUCCGCGCGCUCAACACGCGGUCUUCAGUGGAUACUUCCGGACUUGGGACCGGGAGAGGUAAGAGGUACUAUAGGGGUAGGAGUGAAAUCCUGUAAUCCUUAUGAGACCACCUGUGGCGAAGGCGUCUUACCGGAACGGGUCCGACGGUGAGGGACGAAAGGCUGGGGGCACGAACCGGAUUAGAUACCCGGGUAGUCCCAGCCGUAAACUAUGCCCGCUGGGUGUCAGGCAUGGCAUGACUGUGUCCGGUGCCGUAGAGAAGUCGUGAAGCGGGCCACCUGGGAAGUACGGCCGCAAGGCUGAAACUUAAAGGAAUUGGCGGGGGAGCACUACAACGGGUGGAGCCUGCGGUUUAAUUGGACUCAACGCCGGAAAACUCACCAGGGGAGACAGCAAUAUGUAGGUCAGGCUGAAGGUCUUACCUGAAUCGCUGAGAGUAGAGGUGCAUGG
RNAcentral lists this ribosomal RNA (535 nucleotides) under uncultured archaeon. RNAcentral's name for it is "bacterial SSU rRNA". It matches the Rfam family "Archaeal small subunit ribosomal RNA", at positions 465 to 997 of the family's 1478-position model. The record is from RNAcentral.